AUGCAGUCGAGCGGAUGACAGGAGCUUGCUCCUGAAUUCAGCGGCGGACGGGUGAGUAAUGCCUAGGAAUCUGCCUGGUAGUGGGGGACAACGUUUCGAAAGGAACGCUAAUACCGCAUACGUCCUACGGGAGAAAGCAGGGGACCUUCGGGCCUUGCGCUAUCAGAUGAGCCUAGGUCGGAUUAGCUAGUUGGUGAGGUAAUGGCUCACCAAGGCGACGAUCCGUAACUGGUCUGAGAGGAUGAUCAGUCACACUGGAACUGAGACACGGUCCAGACUCCUACGGGAGGCAGCAGUGGGGAAUAUUGGACAAUGGGCGAAAGCCUGAUCCAGCCAUGCCGCGUGUGUGAAGAAGGUCUUCGGAUUGUAAAGCACUUUAAGUUGGGAGGAAGGGCAGUAACUUAAUACGUUGCUGUCUUGACGUUACCGACAGAAUAAGCACCGGCUAACUCUGUGCCAGCAGCCGCGGUAAUACAGAGGGUGCAAGCGUUAAUCGGAAUUA
This 502-nucleotide ribosomal RNA is filed under the name Pseudomonas sp. Its description in RNAcentral is "bacterial SSU rRNA". It matches the Rfam family "Bacterial small subunit ribosomal RNA", at positions 55 to 553 of the family's 1533-position model. Lineage: Bacteria; Pseudomonadati; Pseudomonadota; Gammaproteobacteria; Pseudomonadales; Pseudomonadaceae. The record is from RNAcentral.